UUCGGGGGGCAGCCGUGGGGAAUUUUUGACAAUGGGGGCAAGCCUGAUUCAACAAUCCCGGGUGCAGGAAGAAGGCCUUCGGGUUGUAAAAUUUUUUUGUCCGGGAAGAAAUCCUUUUGGUUUAUACCCUUGGGGGGAUGACGGUACCUGAAGAAUAAGCACCGGCUAACUACGUGCCAGCAGCCGCGGUAAUACGUAGGGUGCAAGCGUUUAUCGGAAUUACUGGGCGUAAAGCGUGCGCAGGCGGUUUUGCAAGACAGAUGUGAAAUCCCCGGGCUCAACCUGGGAACUGCAUUUGUGACUGCAAGGCUAGAGUACGGGAGAGGGGGAUGGAAUUCCGCGUGUAGCAGUGAAAUGCGUAGAUAUGGGGAGGAACACCAAUGGCGAAGGCAAUCCCCUGGACCUGUACUGACGCUCAUGCAAGAAAGCGUGGGGAGCAAACAGGAUUAGAUACCCUGGUAGUCCACGCCCUAAACGAUGUCAACUGGUUGUUGGACGGCUUGCUGUUCAGUAACGAAGCUAACGCGUGAAGUGACCGC
This 539-nucleotide ribosomal RNA is filed under the name uncultured beta proteobacterium. RNAcentral describes it as "bacterial SSU rRNA". It matches the Rfam family "Bacterial small subunit ribosomal RNA", at positions 340 to 872 of the family's 1533-position model. Lineage: Bacteria; Pseudomonadati; Pseudomonadota; Betaproteobacteria. The record is from RNAcentral.